UUAGCUUUUAAUCACUAAGUAAUGUUGCCAAA
This 32-nucleotide non-coding RNA is filed under the name Mus musculus (house mouse). Lineage: Eukaryota; Metazoa; Chordata; Mammalia; Rodentia; Muridae. The record is from RNAcentral.